Molecule: ribosomal RNA, 253 nt
Filed under: uncultured bacterium
Lineage: Bacteria
Description: partial 16S ribosomal RNA
Rfam family: Bacterial small subunit ribosomal RNA
Source: RNAcentral
UACGUAGGGUGCGAGCGUUGCCCGGAUUUAUUGGGCGUAAAGGGCGCGUAGGCGGUGUGUCAAGUCAGGCGUGAAAGCCCCGGGCUCAACCUGGGAACAGCGCUUGAGACUGGCACGCUCGAGUUCGGGAGAGGAUGGUGGAAUUCCCAGUGUAGAGGUGAAAUUCGUAGAUAUCGAGAGGAACACCUGCGGCGAAGGCGGGUUGCUGGGCUGAUACUGACGCUGAGGCGCGAAAGCCAGGGGAGCGAACGGG